AAGCUCGUAGUUGGAUUUCUGGGUGGGAGCGGUCGGUGCGGUCCUCAGGAUUGCUACUCGUACCGUCUCUCGCCAUCCUUGGGUCGAUCCUGUCUGGCAUUAAGUUGUCGGGCAGGGGAUGCCCAUCGUUUACUGUGAAAAAAUUAGAGUGUUCAAAGCAGGCUUAUGCCGUUGAAUAUAUUAGCAUGGAAUAAUAAGAUAGGACUUUGGUACUAUUUUGUUGGUUUGCGCACCAAAGUAAUGAUUAAUAGGGACAGUUGGGGGUAUUCGUAUUCCGUUGUCAGAGGUGAAAUUCUUGGAUUUCCGGAAGACGAACUACUGCGAAAGCAUUUACCAAGGAUGUUUUCAUUAAUCAAGAACGAAAGUUAGGGGAUCGAAGAUGAUUAGAUACCAUCGUAGUCUUAACCAUAAACUAUGCCGACUCGGGAUUGGCGGUCGUUAAUUUUGACCCCGUCAGCACCGUAUGUGAAAACAAAGUCUUUGGGUUCCGGGGGGGAGUAUGGUCGCAAGGCUGAAACUUAA
This 522-nucleotide ribosomal RNA is filed under the name uncultured eukaryote. RNAcentral's name for it is "SSU rRNA". It matches the Rfam family "Eukaryotic small subunit ribosomal RNA", at positions 624 to 1147 of the family's 1831-position model. The record is from RNAcentral.